Carassius carassius (crucian carp) is the source of this 657-nucleotide long non-coding RNA. RefSeq lists it as uncharacterized. The transcript is spliced from 6 exons. The record is from RefSeq and is a predicted model, not a curated record. NCBI's taxonomy places the organism in Eukaryota, Metazoa, Chordata, Actinopteri, Cypriniformes, Cyprinidae.
CGACGCAAGGACAUGAGAUGUUUAUCGCUAUGAAAUCACGUUCAAGAAGUCUCAUUCAGCACACAUCGCGAUACUUGCCAUCAGUUCCACAGUUUGGCUGAAAAGACGUAAAGGCAGUCAGCCCAGUGGUGUUUCUGGAGAGGUAUUCCUUUAGAAAUGGAGAAAACUGAAAUCUGCGGAGGCAGACAUUUGCAGCAGUAAGUCUGUCUACAAUAUCGAGCUCAACAGCUCUUUUAAGAGCCAACCCUCACAAACCUUCCUAAAAACUAAAAGAGCUAUUACUGAGUCUCAGCGAAUCUUGCCAUGAUCAGCUCUUCCCAGAAGAGAAGGAAGACCAAGGAAAUGAUUUGCUCAGGAUGAGGAAUGAAGAUGGCCAUCUUGUGCUCAAACAAACAGAAGUCCUCUGAUGAUCUCAUCAGCCAAAUGAGGGUUUUUUUUGACCAAGGACAGAAAGAAGAGGAUGGGGUAAAUUGUCUUCAAAGAAAAAGCUUCUCAAAAGGUCUUAAAACAGCUUGAAGAAUGGUCUGGGAUCUUAGGACUGAGAGAUCCUCUGGCUGAGAACAAGCUACACCACAUCAGUGCUGGAUAUCACACACAAACUGUUUCCAGACACGAGAGAAGAAGAUCACGAUGGGGAGAUGAAACCAGUUUAGAUGU